Long non-coding RNA from Piliocolobus tephrosceles (Ugandan red Colobus), 1578 nucleotides. The record is from Ensembl. NCBI's taxonomy places the organism in Eukaryota, Metazoa, Chordata, Mammalia, Primates, Cercopithecidae.
AUUUAUUUAUCCUACUUAUUUAUUUAUUUAUUUAUUUAAUUAUUUAAUUAUUUAUUUAUUUAAUUAUUUAAUCAUUUAAUCAUUUAAUCAUUUAAUUAAUUAUUUUUUUUUUUUUAGUCUUUUUUAAAUAAUACGAUAGUAAAUCAGUAUAAAAUAAUAUUUUUACAACCAAACUUGGGUAUUUUUUGGUAUAUCAAUUCACUGGUAAUAUAUAUGAGUAUAUAUGAACAUAUAUGCAUGUAUGUGUACAUAUUUAACAUUGUAAAGCAAAACUGGGUACAAUCAUAAUCAUUGUGCACAUACAACGCCUUCUCAACAUAAGUAUACAUACAUAUAUAUACAUACAUACAUAUAUAUAUAUAUAUAUAUGCAUGUACGUAUGUAUGCAUAUGCUGACCGUGUAAUAUUUUAUUCACACAUUUUAUAGAUAUUCAAAGAAUAUUACUACGCAUUUUUGUUCUUUUUUCACUUUCACGUAUUUUUUUACCCCAUCCCACUUUUGUUUCGUCUUAUGAAAACCCCACUUAUCUAUUUGCAAAUUAUGGUUGCGAUUACGUUGAUAUUUGAACCUAAUAUAACCAUAAACGACGUUGUGUACUGUUUGCUACUGAUGUCGAUUGAUUAUGAAAAAACGCUGUGCAACGUUCCUUUUGCGAAACUAUUCAUGAUAAUGCUCACUGGUUUAGGCUUGUUUUGUGUUACAACAAAUUUGUGGCUACACAAAAAUACAGCAAAUGCAAAUUAUGUAUAUGCUUACCAGUUGUUAACUUUUAACAUUAUUACUUUUAUUAUAGCUAACACUUUAAAUUUUUACAUUAAAGUACAAACACCCAUAAUGCAGUUGGAAGAAGGAAAAAGUUUUGUUGUGUCGAAAAACAGAAAAAAAUUGAACUUUUUAGAAGCGUUAAAGGAGACUCUUUCAUAAUUUGUUUUUUUACUGCAUGAUGUUAUAUAUAUACAUAUAUAUGUAUACAUUUUUUAUUACGCACUCACGCAAUAAUGCAUAAUGUUAGUUAAUUUUUAUUUUUAUCCUAAAAGUUGUAAUCAAUGUAUGAUUACUCUGUGUUUCUAUAAGUAUAUUGUACCUACAUUUGUACAAAAAUAUCAACAAAAAAAAUACAAGUUUGUAUACUCUUCCACAUUUACAAAAGAAAAAAGAAAAAAAAUUUAUGUUUCAUUUUUUAAUACAAUAGCUAUAAGUUGUGGAAAACAAAGAGUGUCACUCUUUACUUUUAUUUAUUUAUUUAUUUAUUUAUUUUUUUUUAUUUUAUUUUUUAUUUUUUUACAACUCAGUUUAAUUAAAAAAACAAAAGAAAGAAAUUAAUUAUAAUUAAUACAUAUGAACCUGUUUUUUUCAUUUGGACAUAUAUAAAAAAAUAUUUUCUUAUAAAAGGCAUAUAUUUUCCAUAUCAUUUCAAAGCAUAAUAGUUAUGUAAAAAUUGUAUGAGUAAAAUAUAGCUUUUUUUUUUUUUUUUUUUUUUUUUUUUUUUUUUUUUUUCUUGCUCAUGCAUAAAUAGCAUAGCAAUAUUAAUAAUUAUAAUUUUUUUUGUGAAAAAAAUAAAUGGAACGUUCUUAUCA